AAAAAGCACAUGCGGGCGUCCGCUGUGAAGCCUUCGGGCAAAGCAGCGGCCGUUUAAAAAUUAUGCAAUUUACGCAUCGGACAAACAACAAGCUAGUUGGUUGGACUGAUGCCAGUCACCGAGAGGUUCAGGCCUCGAGGUGGCUCUCCGAUUUGAAGAGGGUCCGACAGUUCGCUGCCGGGCCUUCUGAAGAUCUCGAUGGAGAGUUUGAUCCUGGCUCAGGACGAACGCUGGCGGCGUGCCUAACACAUGCAAGUCGAACGAGGUCCAUGCAGUGGCAACACUGCGGAAGACCUAGUGGCGAACGGGUGAGUAACACGUGAGGAACCUGCCCCGAAGACCGGGAUAACCCUCCGAAAGGAGAGCUAAUACCGGAUACCCCCACCUGGUCGCAUGGCCGGGUGAGGAAAUGGAUUCCGCUUCGGGAGGCCUCGCGGCCUAUCAGCUAGUUGGUGAGGUAACGGCUCACCAAGGCAUCGACGGGUAGCUGGUCUGAGAG
This 499-nucleotide ribosomal RNA is filed under the name uncultured bacterium. Its description in RNAcentral is "partial 16S ribosomal RNA". The stretch from base 196 to 499 matches the Rfam family "Bacterial small subunit ribosomal RNA", at positions 1 to 298 of the family's 1533-position model. The record is from RNAcentral.